GAAGGACGGCGGGGUGUAGGAGUCGAUCAGGGACGCAAGUUUCGGGUCGGAGCUCCGUAAGUGAUUUAGGGCGAGGGUAAUUUCGGAAUUGGAGGUUAAUGGGUUUAGAAUUUUGGGGAUUUCCGGGGAAGUUUGGAUGGUGAGCUUGGUGGUGGUGGUGGUGGUGAGUUUUAGGAUUUUUUGGGGUCGGAAUGGGAUUUUGGAUGAAGUUGAGGGGUUUUCGGGAAUCUGGGUCUGGGGUUUGGAUCGCUUGGCCAUAGAGAAAGGGAGAGAUGGGAAUCGGAGAUUGGAGUAAGCAAUUGUGGAGAUGAGGAGCAGAGAAGACUAGAGAGGCGCGUGUUAGUUACCCGCGCGCUUUUUAAGGCGGGGGAAAUGCGUUGUUAGGUUUUCAUUUUAUUCUUUAAAGGUUGACCAACCAGCCUGCCUAGGCCCAAUCAGACAGGCAUCCGCCUAGCCGGCCUAAUAGUCCGCCUAGCACGCUUGGGCCCAGUGCACUCAACUGUUUUUAUUUUUAUUUUUUCCACUUCAAAUUAUCAUCACAGAUUCAGAGAGAAAUUUUAAAUACACACCCCUAAUAUCUUAACAUACACCAUUUACUUAAUACACUACCAAUCAAGUUUUUCAUUUUAGUAUUAUACUUAAUACACAUCUCAAACUGUCUAAAAUGCCCUUAAUUUAUGAAAUUAAUAUUCCGUUAUUUAAUAUAAUUAAUAUAUAUUUACUAUUUGGUAUCUCUUUUUACAUAUUAUUUCGUCUAAUUUUUGCUAGAAAUUUUUGGUUAUCAUCAUUCAAUUUAUAAUUAGAUGAUUAUUGUUAUAUCUCAACUCUAAAUCACCAAUACAAGUUUUUAAAAUUCACAAGAGCACAACUGUAGAAGUACAGUAGCUAUUAAACAUAGAUAGCUAGUUAUUCGAUAAAACAUGUCAUGAUAAAAAUGCAGUAUUUGACAAUAUGAUAUGCAAGAUCAAACUAAAGAUCAAACUAAAGCUGAUAAAGAUGCAGUACUUGACAAUAUGAUCUGUAAGAUCAAAUUAAAGCUGAUACGGAUACAAAAAAAAAAAAAAAGCAACCAAAAUGAAUUGUGGAGAAGAAUUAGGGUUAUGGGAGAAGACAUGUUUUCGAAAAUUUUAGUGUAGAAGACGUUGAAAAGAAUACUUCUAGCGUGAUAUAUUUUUUUUUUAAUAAUAGAUGUAUGUUUUGGUCAUUUAGCUUACCUAUAAAAUCUCAAUAGAAACAUAAAAUAGUAAGGGUGUGUCUUAAGAGAUUAGGGGUGUGUAUUUAAAAUUUCUCCAGAUUCACAGCCAGGAGACAUAAUUUCAUUCAUGACCUAUAAGCAAAAGCGUGCCUAGUGCCUACACACGGGUUCCAGCCCAUCCUAAAUUUUGAAAAAUAUAGAUUUUUAGCUAAAUUUUAGUUUAAAAUGUUAAUAAUUAAAAAAUUAUGCAACCUCAAAUUUAUAAUUUUAGCUCGUAUGUUAUUAACUUAGUUCAUUUUUAACAUAAAUUAGUAUACUUUUCAUCAAAAAUAUACAUUUCUAGCUAAAGUUUAGUUCAAAAGGCUAAAAAUUAAAAACUACCCAUACCUCAAAUUUUCAAAUUUAACGCAUAUGUAAUUAAAUUUAGUCCAUAUUUGACAUAAAUUAGUACACGUUUAUUAAAAAGAAAAAUUAGCCCAACUUAUUAUAAAAUUCUGGAUCCGCCUUUGCCCAUAAGCAGCUAAAUACAAAGUUUAAUCUUACUUGAACAUUGGAAAUGGACUAUAUAAAAAGUAGACAUGCAGUAACAGAGAUACGAAGCAGAUAUUUGAGCUAGUGCUCGAUCACUCUUGAGCGAUGGAACAUCAUCUUAACUUUGAGCUCCAACAUCAUUCAGGGAGGCUAGGAAUCUCUUGAGACACCUGUUGUAAACACAAGGUCUUUCAAGGUGAACCAGAUGACCUGCUUUCUUUAUGCCUUUAAAUGUUGCAUUUGCUCCUAGUUGCCUGCAUACAAACAUUAGUGUUGUUCAAACCUUUCAUUAACCAGUGCAUAUAUAAUUAGUAUUUGGUGUUUGAUUAUAUACAAUUAGUAGAAAUAGUUAAAGUCAAUUGACGGACUUACUCUUUCAUUUUGUGAGCAAGCUCCUGCUUAAAUAUCUGAUCAUUUUCACCCCAUAAUAGAUGAAUUCUCUGCAAAUUAUAUUGGCAAGACAGAUGAGGUUAAUGAUCGAAAAAUAUAAUAAAAUGGAUGAUGAAAUAUUAAGGACACAGAACAUAUACAUUUGGAUUAAUUACCUGUGGGAAUUUGGGAAUGUUUGGAUCCUUUGUGUCAAUGACUAAAGCUUCAAGUAGUUCUUCCCUUUCCUUCCUGUUCGUGAACAUCACCUGUUGAUUGUUCGUAGCUAAAACACUUAGCGACAGCUACGUACAACUACAGAAACUUAAUUUGCUUCCUAAAUCGCAUAGUAUCUAACAGGCUAAGCCACGGAAAAUGUGCAGUUACCACACUCUAAAAAUCAAGUACGCUUAUCGAACCACAUCGAUCAAAUCGUCUCAUUACAAUUAUUCGAUGUCAUAGUCCUUCAAUUUAUUGCAUGAAAAUGAUAUCAAUUCAUAUAAAUCAUAUUUGUAACCAAUGUUCUAAAAAACGCUAGGCGCUAAUUGGGCGGACAGUCGGUUACUAACGCCUAGGCAGGUUAAUCGGGGAUUAAUCGGUUUCCUAGUUCUCUAGACGAAAACGGUGAAGCACCACCUAGCGCUUAGGCGGGGAUUAAUCAAUUAUAGGUGGUGAUUUUUAGAACAUUGUUUGUAACACAUAGACCGAGAGUGUUAGAAAUUUAGAGAAAAUUGUUAAAACAACCUAGUUCCAGUAUAUAUAACCUGUCAUCUCUCAACUAAAUUAGUAUAGGUGGCAUUCAUUUAACAUAUUCUAUUUUCGGUUCACUGUUUAUAGACUGUUCAUAAACACUGUUCACGUGAACAGUGUUGGGCUUGGGUGUUUAGGUUUUUUUUUUUUUUUUUUUUUUNNNNNNNNNNNNNNNNNNNNAGAGAUAAAUAACAAAACUAGGAAAAUAAAUACAAUACUGACUCAUCAAAUUCUUGAGAAAAUUGCAACGAUCCAAAAAUGGUCAUAAGAACUCUUGCAGAAAGAUCUGAAUACUGCAAAUAAAACAGAGGUAAAGUCUUUAUGUAUGUUUAUUGUAGGAAAUUAUUGGUUUUGAGAUUUAUGUGGAGUUUGAUUAUUCAAAAUGAAACAAAAUGUGGAGUCUUACUAACUACUGGUCUCAAUUUUGUUGCUUUUGUGGUUGCUUGAUUUUCUUUGGUAUAUAUGCACUUUUAUUAGUCUUUUCUUAUGUUUCCUUCUUUUAUAUAUAGAUCUAUAGGGUUUCUAUUGAUUUUCAGUUGAAGUCUCUUGCAUUUUGCGAUAAGUAAAAGAUUGAGUUAUGCUAGAACUUGAAUGACUUUUUGAUAAAGUUCAUAAUUUCAUAAAUGGACCAGGACUAUGGGGAUUAUAAGUUAUCAUAAAAUCUUAAAUCUUAAGGUGUAACACUAGAAUGAGAAAUACAUUUACAACAAUAUAGAGAUGGGGUAUUGAGAUGACAAAUAAUUAAAGAUACCGAAACAGUAGAUAAUUGAACGUAUGGAUAUAAAUUCUUUAAUAGACCUCAUUUAAUUAUUUUGCUUCUUUACGUAAACUUAGCUGGCUUUGGUCAAAAUGCUAAAGUAGAUACCACAUAUAUCAAGAAAUUAAAAUAUAUAAGAAGAGGGCAUGUGUUAUAGAGUAGUAAUGUUUUCUUGCCACAUAUAUGGUUUACUCUUUGGUGUGGUCUGUGACAGACAUUAAGAAUAUAUAGUAAAAUGGGAUUAUUGCUCUUUGUUUUGUUUUGUUUUUUUUUUUUGUCUGAAUAGCUUACUCAAUACAAUAUACUUCGUAUUUGAGUUAAUGGUGGUGCACUGGCUUUAAUGAAGGUAUGUCAUAGUCUCCUCAAAACAUGUAUUGGCUGCCAUUAAUAUAUGAUUUACAUUCACUUUAUAUAGUAAUCAACGCUGCUAAACUUCCAGUAUAAUGUAUUCACCUGGCUAUCAGCAUAUGUGCAGGUAAAAAGGUAGACUAGCAUUGUGGAUACAUACUUAUGAUGGGCAUAGAGAAGUAAAGAAUGAGCAUAUGUCAUUGGAUUUGGAUUUAGGCUUGCAUCAUGUAUAGAUGUAUAUAAGUUAGUUAAACUCAACUCGGUAGUACCACUCUGAAACUCUAAUUGUUUUCUAUACAUGUAUAGAGUGAAGUAGCAUAUUGAUUCAUCAUUUUAACUGCACAUGAUAUGAUAGUGGUUUUUUUUAUUAUACUUUAGAAUGAACUAUUUUCAGUAACCAUAUUAUUGAAUUUCUGCCUAUUCCAUUAUGUAGAAUAUAAAUUUUGUUGACAAAAAAUCCCGUAGCAAGACAAUGGUAUCUUUGUGGUUCAUUUCUAAUUUUCAACCUACUUCAGCAACUUAAUUAGACGUCAUCGUCGAUAAUCACUGUUAACUAACCUCAAGGAAGUCUCUGUGGAGCCGAUCGGGAAAAUACAGCUUCAUGUGAGCCCCCACCGACAGCAGAGCCUCGAGCCCCUUCACCGUUCUCGGCAGCAAAAGCUCUGACAACGACUCAAACCCUAGCCUCUUCAUAGUAUCACCUCUCACCGAACACGUCAUCGCCAAUAUCGACCCGGAAACCACCAUGACUCUCACCAGCUCCGGAUACAUCUCCGCCAUCUUGAACGCCACCAUGCCGCCGUAACUGAACCCCACCAACGUACACGUGUCCACCCCGAGCUUCCUCAGCCCCGUAGAGACGCACUCGGCCUGAAGAGCAGGAGACCUGUCGGGCUUGUCGGUCGUCGACCCCCAAAAAACAGGAGGUCGGGAACGUAGACCGAGUAUGUCUUGGCCAGCGCACCCACCUGAAACUGCCACGUCACUAUUCCAUCGGCGGCGAAGCCGUGUAUCAGAACCACUACCGGCUUUUUGGGUUUGGAUAUGAUCUCGGGCUUCUCUCCCUUCUUCGGCUUGUUUAGGGUUUUUUUCGGGACCCAGAAGUUCAUCACCGUGCCGGGCUCAAUCUCCACCGUGUAGGGUACGACUCCGGCCAUUUUCAUCAGGCCAUGCAGCAAGAGCUUCUGUAGUGCUACUAAGUUCACCAUGUUUAUUUUGCUUAACUUGUAGCACUCACAAUCCGAGUACUAGAUCCCUCACAUAGAGUUUAUAAACUAGGAAAGAGUUGAUGAGGUAGGUAGGUUUGUGUUUGGUGUUGGAUUGUUAUAGCUUGUCACUUAUAUGGAGUGGAAAUGUUUGAAUGAUCGAUCGCACUCUCCUACUUGGUUACUUAACUACUUGUAUCCUUCAAUUGGGAAGUCCAGGGGAUUGUCUGCUAUACCGAACAGUAUAGCAUGCCGGCUGAUAGGGUAUGUCACGUGCAAGGCACGUGAAGAGAAAUUCGGAGGAUAACCGAUUGUCUCCGGUUUCCCGUUAUUUCCCCUAUACGUACGAGAGUCAAUUCACGAGCGACAAAAUCAACCCAGUCUUCUCAUUUUUCAGUAGCUCAGGUUCUCUACUGUUGGAAAGCAUCAAUCAAGAUUUCUGGGUUUCUCCCAUCACCAUCAAAAUGGGUUUUGCCUUUCGAUUUCUGGGUUUCCUCCUCCGCAUUGAGUAGACCGAAAAGUCCCCGAGCCGCCGGGAAACGCAGAAGAACGUCGAGCCUCCUCGUCUUCGAUCUCUCUCCAAGUUCCAUGCAUGCGCGAUUUGUUGAUUCAGGCAGGUCGGCGAUGAGGAGGCGACUUGUUUCGUUUCGCACCGGUCGGGCGAUAAGGGGCAGCCGGACGGCGAAGUUACGCCGGAAAGACAGAGGACGGCGUCGGUCGGAGUCUGGGCUCGUCUCAGACUCGACUUGUUGUUUUGACCGAGUGCUGACCAACAAUCCAUUUAAGUAGAGACAAGACUUUCGGAUAUGCUUUUCCAGAGUACAAUAUUCGGAGGAGUAAGGAUUUGGACCUGGGAUUGGAUUUUUCAUUCUGUGUUUCGUUUCCUCCGCUUAUCCCUUCCCAGAAAGAAAACAGAGAGAGAGAGAGACAUAAAGAGACGAAACAGAAGAGUACGGCGAAUUUGUAGAUUUGUUUCUGUACUUUGACUUUUUAACUUGGGCUUCCGUUUUAAGUAUAGGAUUAAAAUUAUAUUUAUGACUAAGACUACAAUUAGUAUCUACGAGAAACUGCAAUUCGGUUUUUGAAAGAGGAGGAAGGGUAACUGUCCAUAGAUUACCUUCUUGCCCUUGGUUUAUGUAUUUAGCGUUUAUCGUAGAUUGUUAUAAGUUUGGGUGUUUUAGGAACUUCAAAAAUUUAACCAUCUUCGUUCCUUUCUGGCUUUAUUAAUAGUAGAUAAAAAGGACAGCCAUGAUUAAAUGAAAGUAAAGAUCAACGCCCCAUAUCUUUUAGCUAUUUUCUCAUUUUCAAAAAUCAUUUUCAUUUUCCAAAUUUCAUAAAGAAUAGCUCGAUGCACCGAAAAAUAUUCCAAAUAUCUUCUAAACUCGUGCCGACGCGUAUUUUAUAAAUUAGGGCCUUAAAUGAAUAAUUGUCACUUCGAUAAAAUCGUAAAAAUAAACCUGAGCACUUCUUUUGAUAUUUCAGAUCGGGGUUACAAAUUUUCAAUAACCCGACGAAAGCUCGAUAAAUUUUUACAGAGCCUUACAAGAAGCAAAAGCGUAAUUAGGGUAGACUGAUUUUAUCGGGGCCCAAAAUUUAUCGGAAAGAUGUGAUUUUUCUAUCAUAGCCGUAUUUCACUAUACCGAUCACAUCCUAUUUCACAAGAUUUUUGAAAAUUUUGCUUCUUAGAUAUAGUUGGUUCACAAACAUACACACUUAGAUAAACUUACUAAACUAGUUAUAAUACAUUGUGAUUCCAAUGACUCAAUUUCACAAAAUCAAAAUUCGACCGUCUAAUGUGAUCAGUGUAGUAAAAUAUGUAUAUGGUAGAAAAUUCAACUGUAUUUGGUAACAUAAAGGGCUCGAUCAAAACGGUCAACCCUAAUUCAAGAUCACUUAUCACACGAAAACGCGCUUACCUACCCCUCUGUGAAUUAUUUUGGUCGAAUCUUCCACACCCACACACUCACAUAUAUGAGAUGUAGCGACACAUGUAAAAAUUUAGGGAAUUUUACCUCCGACGAUGUGGCUCUCCAUAGAGAAGCAAAAACGUAAUUAAGGUUGACUGAUUUUAUCGGGGCUCAAAAUUUACCGGAAAGAUGUGAUUUUUAGAAUAAUGCUACAAUUUCAUUGUUGGUGGAUGAUUGAUUGAGAAUUCGAACCAGUACUGAACAACUAAUCUAACUUGUAGCUAUUUUUUUUUUUUUGUGGCAACAGGACAGAAGAUUCAAAUUAAAGCCAAAUGACAAACCAGCAAAUGGCGUAUAAACAGAGAGAAACACAAACAGCACAGAGUAAUAGAAACUAAACAAACUAAGGCUAAGAAGGAGGAGGUCGGUAACCCAUCACUUCGCAAAAUCAGGAGCAAAGAGUUUGGAGGCCGGCUGGCCCAUUCCUGAGAGCACAAACUCUUGGUUGCAAGCUUGGCCGCAACAUUUGCUAGAGGGUUGGCUUUACGGGGAAUCCAAUUCAAAUGAACACCACUAAAGAGAGGGACCAGAUGGAGAAUCUUCAUGAGCAUAGGAGAGAUUCUCCAGUUCGGGAAACCGAAGGGUCGUUUAACGCCUUUAUAAUCUCUUGGCAAUCACACUCUACAAUUAUUCUUUCCAGUUGUAGCUAGCUAGAUACGUCUUUCUUGCACGUAAUAUCACUUCUUAUGCUUAGUAUAAUCUUGUUUAAUUAAUCAAAAUCUUGUAUUUUCAUGUCAAAAAAUAGCCCACCCUAUCAUAAUCCUACAGACCUACAGUAAUGAAAAUUGACAAAUCCAGAACCAGUUAGUUAUAUUCUAAAAUUGAUAGCGUGAUAGUCAAUCUCCAUCUCUAGCUAUAGGAAACUUACUGUUACAGUCUAGAGCUUAUUUCAAUAAUAAAUCAAGAGAAUUAAUCUAAAGAGGUGGAUACUCCCAUAGUUAGCCAUGUGAUUAAGAUCGUAGCAUGGUCGCAAAUCCACAACUGGCAUUUCAUUUAUGAUGCUUAUGCUUACUUCUAUAAUUACCUAAUACGAUAUCAAACAAACAUAUUCCAUAAGAAAGUUACUCAAGUCUAACUGCAAUCUUCAACCUGCAUAUACUUACACAAGUUUACUGAACAAUAAUUUUGACCAUUAAGAACAAACUAGUACCAUUAGAAUCGACGAGUUCAAACUUUCAGUAGAACUAAACACACAGCCAAAAAAUCUCAACAACAUUGUAAAAGCUUGUGUGAUUCAUAGAGACUACCUACCAAAUUGGAGGGCUACAAGACCCCCUUGGCUUCAAUGUACCUCCACAUGUACCAAGACCCAACAGACCUAUAAGGUUUCCACUUCUCACAAAGCUCUUCCAUCUCCAAAGGCUUAGGCAACUCCUUCAACCCAUACAACAUCUUGACUCCUUUCCUCACACCCAAAUCCCCCACCGGAAGAACGUCAGGUCGUUUAAGCGAAAAUAUCAUGAACAUAUGCACCGACCACGCCCCAAUCCCCUUCACCACCGUCAGCAUCGUCAGCAACGACUCGUCGUCUAUUUCCUUAAUCCCCGAAUCCGACAAAGUCCCAUCACUAAACUUCUCCGCCAAGUCAUGGAGAUAAGACGCCUUCCGGCCCGAAACUCCGAUUUGCCGGAGACUCUGGGGGGAGAGAUUGAGGAGAGUUUUGGGGAGAAUCGACGACUCGCCGCCGCAGAGCGUGACGAAGCGCGUGUAGAUCGACUGGGCGGCCUUGGUGGCGAGCUGCUGGUAGAGAAUGCUUCGCGCGAGGGAUUGGAACGGCGGGCGGUCGGAAUCGAAGGACGGCGGGGUGUAGGAGUCGAUCAGGGACGCAAGUUUCGGGUCGGAGCUCCGUAAGUGAUUUAGGGCGAGGGUAAUUUCGGAAUUGGAGGUUAAUGGGUUUAGGAUUUUGGGGAUUUCCGGGGAAGUUUGGAUGGUCAGUUUGGUGGUGGUGGUGAGUUUUAGGAUUUUUUGGGGUCGGAACGGGAUUUUGGAGGAAGUUGAGGGGUUUU
Molecule: long non-coding RNA, 9125 nt
Filed under: Fragaria vesca (wild strawberry)
Lineage: Eukaryota; Viridiplantae; Streptophyta; Magnoliopsida; Rosales; Rosaceae
Description: long non-coding RNA (FVES_LNC000187)
Source: RNAcentral